GCGGGUGUAGUUCAGUGGUAGAACAUGUGCUUCCCAAGCACAAUACGCGGGUUCGAUUCCCGCCACCCGCU
RNAcentral lists this transfer RNA (71 nucleotides) under Pseudomonadota bacterium. Its description in RNAcentral is "tRNA-Gly". It matches the Rfam family "tRNA". Rfam says of the family: Transfer RNA (tRNA) molecules are approximately 80 nucleotides in length. Their secondary structure includes four short double-helical elements and three loops (D, anti-codon, and T loops). RNAcentral also lists the same sequence under 5 other names. Lineage: Bacteria; Pseudomonadati; Pseudomonadota. The record is from RNAcentral.